GCCUCUUGAAUACCUUAUUUUUUCGCCUUAUAAUACAUUAGCCAUACUUAAACACCGUUUCAAAAAGGGUGAAAAGGGAGAUGGUCUUAAGCCUUCGAUUCCUCUCCUCAAUUACUUGGAUACGCGUAGCCUUACUCGACCAUUUGAGCAAUUGUCAGCCAUUAAAAAAAACUUUUAACCCCCGCCACAUCCAAAUUCUUUUCAUAAGUAAACUUCAAACGCUUGAUCAAAU
Molecule: long non-coding RNA, 232 nt
Filed under: Lathyrus oleraceus (garden pea)
Lineage: Eukaryota; Viridiplantae; Streptophyta; Magnoliopsida; Fabales; Fabaceae
Description: Pisum sativum (pea) long non-coding RNA (PSAT_LNC019833)
Source: RNAcentral